Molecule: ribosomal RNA, 254 nt
Filed under: uncultured bacterium
Lineage: Bacteria
Description: partial 16S ribosomal RNA
Rfam family: Bacterial small subunit ribosomal RNA
Source: RNAcentral
UACGUAGGGUGCGAGCGUUGUCCGGAAUUAUUGGGCGUAAAGAGCUCGUAGGCGGUUCGUCGCGUCGAAUGUGAAAACCCGGGGCUCAACUCCGGGCCUGCAUUCGAUACGGGCGGACUAGAGUUCGGUAGGGGAGACUGGAAUUCCUGGUGUAGCGGUGAAAUGCGCAGAUAUCAGGAGGAACACCGGUGGCGAAGGCGGGUCUCUGGGCCGAUGACUGACGCUGAGGAGCGAAAGCGUGGGGAGCGAACAGG